GUCCCCCCAGCUCCCUCUGUCCCCCAGCUCCCUCUGUCCCCCCGGCUCCUCUGUCCCCCAAGCUCCUCAGUUUCAUGUUGUUACUGGACACAUCUUAAAACCCAGAGCCUGGAAAUGUGACCUUAUUCAGAAAAAGAGUCUUUGUGGGAAACUUAAGUGAGGGGUCUUGAGAGGAGGUCGUCCUGGGUAGGGUGGGCCCUAAAUCCAACGGCCAGUACCCUUAGAAGAGACGAGGAUGGAGCCAGACGCGCAGGGAAGGCAUCUGCGUGCGGACAGAGGCAGAGAUGGGAGUGAGGGCCACAAGCCAGGGAGCCCCAGGAGCUGGACGAGGCAGGAAGGGCCCUGUCCCAGCACCUUCAGAGGAAGCCAGCGCUGCCCGCACCUUGAUUUCAGGCUCCCAUCUGCAGGCUGUGAGAGCCCCAACGUCCACUGUCACAGCCCCCAGAGUGUUGGUGCUUUGAUACUCAGAGAACACACACGGACACCUGCCUGGCUACGGCCCCUCUUGGGCAGAUGGCAGAACCCAGUCCACUCAGUCUGCAGCCACGAGCCUGGAAUUUCCCCCAGUGCAGGAAUGAGGUGGAGCGCCAGCAGCUCAGGGGUGCCGGGAGCCAAGCACAGGAGGCUCGCGGGGUGCUGAGCCCAGGAAACCCGCAGCAGCCAGGCAGCAUGGUGCUCCCCAAGCACACUCGGCCCCCACAUCUCCGGGCCGUGCUGUCAGCGCUCCUCCUCCUCCUAGAGGUGAGAGGCUGUGGCUUCAGAUCUCAGCAGCCUGAAUCCCCGAGUCACCACGGGGAGGACUUGCCCGACUCACACGGAAGCCGUGGCUGUAUCGAGUGGGGGGUCUUGCCCCCCAACAGCAAUCCCAGUCCGCCUGACCCACACAUCCUCUCCCCAGUGAUCCAGGCCAAAUGGAGUAUGGAGCACACCCUGUGGGAUAGGCAGGCCCAGUUCUCCAUCUUCUUCACAAACAAGACAUCUGAAGAUGUGGCACCGUUUGACGAGAAACCCAAACCUCUCGCAACAGUGGGAUUCCUCCCCCAUCCCUACGUCUCACGCUGCCGUCCUCACAUGUUCUGUGACUCAGACCCCACGAAGCUCAUGAUGCUGGACACGCACGCGUGCAGAUUUGCCGUUUAAAAGAGAUGACGAGGAGAGGACAGGCUCCUUGCUUACCUGCACGGCCACACGUGGGCUGUUGCCACCCUACCCUUUGGCGAGUUCCUUACCUUGUGCAGAUCACGCAGCUGUAGCACGUUUUGUCAUGCGGCUCCUAGGACUGCAAAUUUUCUCAGUUUCAUUUACUUCAAAGCACUUUUAUUUCACCUUCACCUUCACUCUGAGGAUUUCUUGCUGGAUUUGGAGCGGUGGGGCGGCUCCUCGCUUUCAUUCCUCUGCCCCCCGCCCUCCGCCCUCCGCCCCCCGCCCUCCGCCCUCCGCCCUCCGCCCUCCGCCCUCUGCCCUCUGGUUUUUGAUGAGGAGGCACCGGCAUUCGGCACCUCUGGCCGCCCUUUUCUCCGGCUUCUCCCAAAUUUUCUUCGGUUUUCAGCAGUUUGACUGUGCUGUGCCUACAUGUGAGUUUCUAUUCAUCCUGUCUGAAGUUAGCCAAACUUCUUGUGUCUAUAAAUUGAUGCUUUUCACUACGUCUGGGGAAGUUUAGGCCAUUAUUUCUCUAAAUAAAGUGUUUGUGCUCCAGUCUGUCUCUCCUCCC
Piliocolobus tephrosceles (Ugandan red Colobus) is the source of this 1711-nucleotide long non-coding RNA. NCBI's taxonomy places the organism in Eukaryota, Metazoa, Chordata, Mammalia, Primates, Cercopithecidae. The record is from Ensembl.